UGGGGAAUCUUGCACAAUGGAGGCAACUCUGAUGCAGCGACGCCGCGUGAGCGAUGAAGCCCUUCGGGGUGUAAAGCUCUUUCGACGGGAACGAUAAUGACGGUACCCGGAGAAGAAGCUGCGGCUAACUACGUGCCAGCAGCCGCGGUAAUACGUAGGCAGCAAGCGUUGUUCGGAAUUAUUGGGCGUAAAGAGUGCGUAGGCGGUGUUCCAAGUCUGUCGUGAAAUCUCCCGGCUUAACUGGGAGGGUGCGGCGGAAACUGGGAUGCUAGAGGGUGGGAGAGGUAAGCGGAAUUCCUGGUGUAGCGGUGAAAUGCGUAGAUAUCAGGAGGAACACCUGUGGUGUAGACAGCUUACUGGACCACUUCUGACGCUGAGGCACGAAAGCGUGGGUAGCAAACAGG
This 404-nucleotide ribosomal RNA is filed under the name uncultured bacterium. RNAcentral's name for it is "bacterial SSU rRNA". It matches the Rfam family "Bacterial small subunit ribosomal RNA", at positions 355 to 776 of the family's 1533-position model. RNAcentral also lists the same sequence under 1 other name. The record is from RNAcentral.